UACGAAGGGGGCUAGCGUUGCUCGGAAUCACUGGGCGUAAAGCGCACGUAGGCGGCAUCUUAAGUCGGGGGUGAAAUCCUGGAGCUCAACUCCAGAACUGCCUUCGAUACUGGGAUGCUCGAGUCCGGGAGAGGUGAGUGGAACUGCGAGUGUAGAGGUGAAAUUCGUAGAUAUUCGCAAGAACACCAGUGGCGAAGGCGGCUCACUGGCCCGGUACUGACGCUGAGGUGCGAAAGCGUGGGGAGCAAACAGG
RNAcentral lists this ribosomal RNA (253 nucleotides) under uncultured bacterium. Its description in RNAcentral is "partial 16S ribosomal RNA". It matches the Rfam family "Bacterial small subunit ribosomal RNA", at positions 524 to 776 of the family's 1533-position model. The record is from RNAcentral.